RNAcentral lists this ribosomal RNA (358 nucleotides) under Megalops cyprinoides (Indo-Pacific tarpon). RNAcentral describes it as "partial 12S ribosomal RNA". It matches the Rfam family "Bacterial small subunit ribosomal RNA", at positions 1022 to 1525 of the family's 1533-position model. The record is from RNAcentral. Lineage: Eukaryota; Metazoa; Chordata; Actinopteri; Elopiformes; Megalopidae.
GCUUCUAGCCACCCCGCCUAUAUACCGCCGUCGCCAGCUUACCCUAUGAAGGUCCAACAGUAAGCCCAAAGAGCAUAACUCAAAACGUCAGGUCGAGGUGUAGCGCACGAAGCGGGAAGAAAUGGGCUACAUUUUCUAACCCUAGAACAUUGCGAACGACACAGUGAAACCUGAGUCCAAAGACGGAUUUAGCAGUAAAAAAGAAAUAGAGAGUCUUUUUGAAACCGGCCAUGGGACGCGCACACACCGCCCGUCACUCUCCUCAAAACAACACCCCACAUAUACAAAAACAAACAACCAACACAAGAGGAGGCAAGUCGUAACAUGGUAAGUGUACCGGAAGGUGCACUUGGAACAA